GCGAGUUCCAAACACGGGGGGCUCCUGGAAAACCCCCCCGGGGCUCAUCCCGCGGGGCCGGUUCUGCUGCUGGAGGGGAGCGACGGGUCCCCAAAUCCGGCUGGAAUCGCCGAGCCGGGGCUGAGCGAAGGGAAAAUCGACAUUUUCCCUUUAACCCCGCACAGGCACGGGUUUGUUUUGCUGAGCACGUGUCAACCCCAGUGACUUCUCGACCAAAAAAAAAUAAUCGCUUUUUUUUUUUUCCGCUGUAACAAUGGAGAAAACAAGAGGGAAAACAAGAGGGAAAACAAGAGGGGAAACAAGAGGGAAGAGCAGUAGAAAGAAGGGAUUUGGGGGGUUAAACAGACACAGGGACGUACCUUUGCCGCACGGAUUUUCCAGGCGCUGGCUCAGGGAUUUUCCAUCGUUCCCUCGGCGGUCGGGGCAGCCCGGGAGCCGGGAAUGCUGGAGCUGAGAAUGCGGGAUCCGGGAAUGAGGGAGCCGGGGAUGAGGGAGCCGGGGANNNNNNNNNNUCUGGAGCCGGGAAUGCGGGAGCCGAGAAUGCGGGAGCCGGGAAUGCUGGAUCCGGGAAUGCUGGAGCCGGGAAUGCGGGAUCCGGGAAUGCUGGAGCCGGGAAUGCUGGAGCCGAGAAUGCUGGAUCCGGGAAUGCUGGAGCCGGGAGCGUCUCCCGGCGCUGAAUCAGCGGCGGAUCCCGGCCCGGAGCUCCGGGAAGCUUCACCCGAGCAGAAGAGCGGCUGCGGGGCUGCGGGGCUUCAUCCCGGGCCAGCUUGGUUAUCUCUGCUGCUCGCAGGUUUUAGGGACGUUAAUGAGGUUUAUCACAGCGAAGUCACGUCUGUGUCCCGGCAGGCUGAGCUCAAAAAUCCCCCGCGUGUUUCCAGACCGUGACAUCACAUCUCAGCUCGGCUAAGUGGCUUUUAGAUAACAGGCGGUGCCCCCUCCCUGAGAAUUCCGAGAUAAAAACGCUGAAGAAGGGCGGUUUGCACACGCACAGGCUGAGGUUUAACAGCACGACUUAAUUUAUAUUGGGACAUUAAUUAGUCAUGCAGGAAGUAUUCAAACAAGAAAUUAAAGUGUUCAAACCAGAAAGUGAAGUAUUCAAACCAGAAAGUAUUCAAACC
This 1118-nucleotide long non-coding RNA is filed under the name Chloebia gouldiae (Gouldian finch). RNAcentral's name for it is "Erythrura gouldiae (Gouldian finch) lncRNA (ENSEGOG00005006224.1)". The record is from RNAcentral. Lineage: Eukaryota; Metazoa; Chordata; Aves; Passeriformes; Passeridae.